UCGGAUGCAUCCUUAGAGCCUCGGGACCUUGCUUUCCUCACCUGUACGAUGGCUUCCUACCUCAUGGGCCGUGUGAGGACUGAAUGAGCCCAGCGUCCGUGCACCGUGCUGCCUUCUCAUGCUGAUACUUGGGCCUAACAGUGAGCUGGUUAAUGUUUAACAGCCGGCUCUCUGGGAAAACAAGCCAUGGUUUGCAGCAUUUGACGACUUCCAUGGUGUAAAUAUUCUAGCCUCCGCCAAUUUCAAGCUACUGAUGUGAAGUCACCAGACUUGCAAAAUUCCCGAAAAUGGAUCAAUCAAGUGAGCUGGUAGGAGCCAGCUCUCACACGCCACUGCUCAGUCCCACCUUCAGAUCUUCCAUUUUCUCUAUUAAGCUACGCAAACAGUGACCUACUGAACCAGUGGCUUAACAAAUAAAAGUUUAUUUCUCA
Long non-coding RNA from Balaenoptera acutorostrata (minke whale), 431 nucleotides. RefSeq lists it as uncharacterized. The transcript is spliced from 2 exons. The record is from RefSeq and is a predicted model, not a curated record. Lineage: Eukaryota; Metazoa; Chordata; Mammalia; Artiodactyla; Balaenopteridae.